RNAcentral lists this ribosomal RNA (402 nucleotides) under uncultured bacterium. RNAcentral's name for it is "partial 16S ribosomal RNA". It matches the Rfam family "Bacterial small subunit ribosomal RNA", at positions 30 to 526 of the family's 1533-position model. The record is from RNAcentral.
AUUGAACGCUGGCGGCAGGCCUAACACAUGCAAGUCGAACGAGUGGGGACGGGUGAGUAACACGUGGGUAACCUCCCAUCAGAGGGGAUGACACUUGGAAACAGGUGCUAAACCGAUAUUGACGGAUGGACCCGCGGUGCAUUAGCUCGUUGGUGAGGAACCGGCUCACCAGGGCCACGAUGCAUAGCCGACCUGGGAGGGGGAUCGGCCACCCUGGAGCGGGGACACGGCCCAGACUCCUACGGUAGGCAGCAGUAGGGAAUCUUCGGCAAUGGACGAAAGUCUGACCGAGCAACGCCGCGUGAGUGACGAAGGUUUUCGGAUCGUAAAACUCUGUUGUUAGAGAAGCGGUAUCUAACCAGAAAGCCACGGCUAACUACGUGCCAGCAGCCGCGGUAAUAC